RNAcentral lists this ribosomal RNA (301 nucleotides) under uncultured bacterium. RNAcentral describes it as "partial 16S ribosomal RNA". It matches the Rfam family "Bacterial small subunit ribosomal RNA", at positions 509 to 807 of the family's 1533-position model. The record is from RNAcentral.
CAGUAGCCGCGGGAAUACGAAGGGUGCAAGCGUUACUCGGAAUUACUGGGCGUAAAGCGUGCGUAGGUGGUGGUUUAAGUCCGUUGUGAAAGCCCUGGGCUCAACCUGGGAAUUGCAGUGGAUACUGGGUCACUAGAGUGUGGUAGAGGAUAGUGGAAUUUCCGGUGUAGCAGUGAAAUGCGUAGAGAUCGGAAGGAACAUCUGUGGCGAAGGCGACUAUCUGGGCCAACACUGACACUGAGGCACGAAAGCGUGGGGAGCAAACAGGAUUAGAUACACCAGUAGUCCCUGUCUCUUAUAC